UGGCGUGCUUUUACACAUGCAAGUCGAACGCUGAAGCCUGGUGCUUGCACCGGGUGGAUGAGUGGCGAACGGGUGAGUAAUACGUGAGUGACCUGCCUUUGACUCUGGGAUAAGCCUGGGAAACUGGGUCUAAUACCGGAUGCGACUACUGCCCGCAUGGGCUGGUGGUGGAAAGGGUUAUGUACUGGUCUUAGAUGGGCUCACGGCCUAUCAGCUGGUUGGUGGGGUAAUGGCCUACCAAGGCGACGACGGGUAGCCGGCCUGAGAGGGUGACCGGCCACACUGGGACUGAGACACGGCCCAGACUCCUACGGGAGGCAGCAGUGGGGAAUAUUGCACAAUGGGCGCAAGCCUGAUGCAGCGACGCCGCGUGAGGGAUGACGGCCUUCGGGUUGUAAACCUCUUCAGCAGGAAGAAGCGGAAGGAUCGACCCUAACGG
This 439-nucleotide ribosomal RNA is filed under the name Rothia kristinae. RNAcentral describes it as "bacterial SSU rRNA". It matches the Rfam family "Bacterial small subunit ribosomal RNA", at positions 40 to 475 of the family's 1533-position model. Lineage: Bacteria; Bacillati; Actinomycetota; Actinomycetes; Micrococcales; Micrococcaceae. The record is from RNAcentral.